Molecule: long non-coding RNA, 2606 nt
Organism: Manis pentadactyla (Chinese pangolin)
Lineage: Eukaryota; Metazoa; Chordata; Mammalia; Pholidota; Manidae
Exons: 4
Source: RefSeq, a predicted model, not a curated record
UGGAUCCCUUGACUCCUGCGUGGCCCCCAUCUGCUCAGGGUGUUUUUGGGUUCAUGAGUCCUUGAGGCCGCAGCCUUGCUUACUUUGUGGUCUCAUAUUUCAUAUUCUCCCUCCCAGCACAGGAUCUUUCAGUUUGUUGUAUUUAACAAACAUACUGAGGUACUAAGGGCCUCACAGAUAUGAACUCACUUAAUUUACACCACAACCAUCUGAGAUAGGUAUUAUCAGCUCCACUGUAAAGGUGGGGUGGUCAAAGCCCAGAGGAAUUAAGGAUCAAGCCCAGAGGAGAGCUGAGAAUCAGUUCCUGUAUCCACCAGGGUCUGAGCAGGAAGUGGACAGCACGCUCAAAACAGGAGACUCUCAAGAGGAUUCAACAGAGGAACUAUUUCCAAAGGCAGAGGGAAAACAAAGGACCGAGAGGCUGUUCUCAGCCCUUGAGCUGAAGGGUCGGGACCUGGAAGGAGAGGAGGCUGCCCAUUCAGUCAGCUGUUGCCACAUAACAACGUAAUGACUUAAAACAGCACCAUUUAGGUAUUUCUCCCGUUGUGUGGGUAGAAAGGGCGAUUCAGGUCCCAAAUGGCCCCUCAGGGUGCUGGCUGCCAGCUGGGGGCUCGUUGGGCUGCUGCUGGGGCUGGGAUCUCCUCACAUGGCUUCUUCACCCAGAUGCUUGGGCUUCCUCCCAGUGUGGCCGCCGAGUUCAAGAGGGAGUGUUCCAGGAGAUCGCCUCCCUCCCACUGGCCAGAGGCAGCUGGACACCUGAGGACAAGGAAGCCUGCCGACCUGGCCUGUGACAGUCAUCUUCUCGGGUGGCACGGGGUGGAAGUGGAAGAUGGCUUUGAGGGGGAGGAGGACACCCUGACACAGCACCUGCUGCUGCUAAGCUCUUCUAGGACCUUCUAUUUUUCCUUUAUUAUGAUGCAAUUUGUGACAGAUCUGUGAUUUGGCUUUGUGUCAAAUUUGGCUUUGUAUCAAAUUCUUCAUUGUCAGUCUCUCUUUUAAGACCAUGAGCUCCCAGGAAGUGGGACCAGCUGCUAUGCCCACCACUGGAUCCCCAGGCCCAGCACUGGCAUAGGUUGGUGCUCAGUAGCUCCUCACUCCUGAUCCAUCUGCUAGAGCUGUGGGUUCUGUACCCCAAAUACACCUUGAAUCCAUCCAGCUGUCUCUGGUUUUCCCAACCCAGGUCCCUAUAACACAGGACAACUGCAUUUCUUUUUAUUGAGGUAUUGUUGAUAUGACAACUGUAUCUUAUCAUAUCUGAGGCACGUUUUUUACUCUUGACCUCCAAACAUUGGCCAGGGAGAUGCAUUUUUUUAUUCUUAAGAAAAGAAAAGAAAUUGUUUUGGUCAAUUGGGGCUGCUAUAGCAGAAAGCUACAGACUGAGUGGCUUAUAAGCAGCAGAAUUUAUUUCUCAUAGUUUUGGAGGCAGAAGUCAGAGGUGAAGGUGCUGGCAGAUUCUGGGUCUAGUGAGAACCCACUUCCUGGUUCAUAGGAGGUACCUGGGACCCUGUGUCCUCACCUGGCAGAAGGGGUGAGGGAGCUCUCUGGGGUCUCCUUUAUAAGGGCACUUAUUUCAUGUAUCAGGUUCCACCCUCAUGACCUAACUGCCUCCCAAAGGCCCCAUUUCUUAACACCAUCACACUGGGUGUUAGGAUUCAACAUAUAAAUUUUGGGGGACCACACGUUUAGUCUUAGUUGAAACACACACCAGAGCAAAGAUUGUACCAUGAAUCCCCCCACAUGCCCAUUUCUCAGAUUUAACAAUUAUCCAGGCUUUUUUGUCCCCGUUGCUUCAUCUGUCCUUGUUUCUUUCUCUUUGAGUGAGUUGUCUUGAAGCUUACCUCAGGUCCUCAUGGUGCCGUCUGUGCUUCUCUGGCCCUUGAACAAACUGGACAGCUCCUUGUUGCAGGGCCUUUGUGCUUACUGCUUAUUUUGCCAGAGAUGUCCUCCCCUGGCUCUGGUCCUUCAGGCUUCACCCUCCACCCCCUCAUCUCUCUGUGGUAUUACCCCAUUGUUUCUCUCAUUAGCACUUAACAUCAUCUAAGAUCCUUAUUUAUUUGCUUGUGGGGUUUUUGUUGUUGUUGUUUGUUUUGCUUUUAAAUUUCUCUUCCUAACUAAAAAAGAAGGCCAGGACAGAGGGACCCUGUCUGUCUCGUCCACUAGUCUAUCCCCAGCUCAUAACACAAAGUAGGCCUAGCACAGAGCAGGAGCUCGGCAGGUAUUUGCUACAUGAAGAAUGAAUGAAUGUGAACAUCUCUCUGGGCAGGUAGGGCAGGGCCAGGUGACCUUAGAGGAGCCUUCUGGGUCUCCUGGGAUAGGAACCAUCCUCAUGUGGCCAGCUGCUGUGGGCCAUGGCAUCCGACAGAAGCUUCUCUCCUCUUGUGACCUGGUGGAAAUGGAGCAGAGUUAUCAGUUCACAGCUGCCAGCUGAGUCCUCCCCACAUACUUCCACCUUUGUCUCCGUACAUAUUAUCCUGUAACAGCACUGUCCAACAGAGGUGCAAUGAGAGCCACAUAUGCAAUUUAAAUGUUUUUUAGUAGCUGCAUUUCAAAAAUAAAAAGAAACAGGUGAAAUUGAUUUUAAUAGUAUAUUUUAUCUAACCCAACAU